This is a long non-coding RNA of Marmota monax (woodchuck), 616 nucleotides long. RefSeq lists it as uncharacterized. Lineage: Eukaryota; Metazoa; Chordata; Mammalia; Rodentia; Sciuridae. The record is from RefSeq and is a predicted model, not a curated record. The transcript has 3 exons.
UACCUGCCCUCAACUAGAUUUCAGUUAAAGAAAAAAGUACAUAUAAAAAUAUUCUAUUUUAAAUAGAAUUUUCUAAGUGCCAGGGUGAAUGUGACACAUUUAUUAAUUUAAUCAUUUAUCCACCAAACAUUUGUUGAGUGUUUUGAUGUGUCAAGCACUCUGUGGAUCACUGAAGAUAUAAACAUGAAUAAAUCAUGCAUAGUGCCUGUCCUAGAUGAUUUAGAGGAAGUAGAAACUAUGGUAGGCUAGAAUCUUGUUACUCAAAGUGCAUCUAAGGACCAAUAACGUGGGUAUCAUGCUUAUUUCAGGUCCCAUCCAGAUCUCCUGAAUCAGAAACUGCAUUUCAACAACAUACCAGAGUGAUGCAAAUUUUAGUGUUUACGGGAGGACCUGGACUUGGUGUCUGAAGUUGCCUGCUCCACAGGAAACCACCUCCUUCUGCUGCUUGCUUUCUCUUGAGCCAACACCCAAAGCCACCAUCAGUGUCAUGGGGAUGAGACUUUUCAAGGCUGUUCCCACUUUCUUCUUCUUCCUCCUUUGCAGAAGGUAAAACAUCAAUUUAAGAUGAUGAAACCAGACAUUUUGAGAAAAGUUUGGACAACAAUGACAAAGGCAA